This is a transfer RNA of Felis catus (domestic cat), 73 nucleotides long. It matches the Rfam family "tRNA". From Rfam's summary of the family: Transfer RNA (tRNA) molecules are approximately 80 nucleotides in length. Their secondary structure includes four short double-helical elements and three loops (D, anti-codon, and T loops). The record is from Rfam. Lineage: Eukaryota; Metazoa; Chordata; Mammalia; Carnivora; Felidae.
GCCUGGCUGGCUCAGUCGGAAGAGCAUGCGACUCAUGAUCUUGGGGUCAUGGGUUCGAGCCCCAUGCUGGGUG